GACGAACGCUGGCGGCGCGCCUAACACAUGCAAGUCGAACGAGCGAGAGAGAGCUUGCUUUCUCGAGCGAGUGGCGAACGGGUGAGUAACGCGUGAGGAACCUGCCUCAAAGAGGGGGACAACAGUUGGAAACGACUGCUAAUACCGCAUAAGCCCACGGGUCGGCAUCGACCAGAGGGAAAAGGAGCAAUCCGCUUUGAGAUGGCCUCGCGUCCGAUUAGCUAGUUGGUGAGGUAACGGCCCACCAAGGCAACGAUCGGUAGCCGGACUGAGAGGUUGAACGGCCACAUUGGGACUGAGACACGGCCCAGACUCCUACGGGAGGCAGCAGUGGGGAAUAUUGCACAAUGGGGGAAACCCUGAUGCAGCGACGCCGCGUGGAGGAAGAAGGUCUUCGGAUUGUAAACUCCUGUUGUUGAGGAAGAUAAUGACGGUACUCAACAAGGAAGUGACGGCUAACUACGUGCCAGCAGCCGCGGUAAAACGUAGGUCACAAGCGUUGUCCGGAAUUACUGGGUGUAAAGGGAGCGCAGGCGGGAAGACAAGUUGGAAGUGAAAUCCAUGGGCUCAACCCAUGAACUGCUUUCAAAACUGUUUUUCUUGAGUAGUGCAGAGGUAGGCGGAAUUCCCGGUGUAGCGGUGGAAUGCGUAGAUAUCGGGAGGAACACCAGUGGCGAAGGCGGCCUACUGGGCACCAACUGACGCUGAGGCUCGAAAGUGUGGGUAGCAAACAGGAUUAGAUACCCUGGUAGUCCACACCGUAAACGAUGAUUACUAGGUGUUGGAGGAUUGACCCCUUCAGUGCCGCAGUUAACACAAUAAGUAAUCCACCUGGGGAGUACGACCGCAAGGUUGAAACUCAAAGGAAUUGACGGGGGCCCGCACAAGCAGUGGAGUAUGUGGUUUAAUUCGACGCAACGCGAAGAACCUUACCAAGUCUUGACAUCCCUUGACGAUGCUGGAAACAGUAUUCCUCUUCGGAGCAAGGAGACAGGUGGUGCAUGGUUGUCGUCAGCUCGUGUCGUGAGAUGUUGGGUUAAGUCCCGCAACGAGCGCAACCCUUAUGGUCAGUUACUACGCAAGAGGACUCUGGCCAGACUGCCGUUGACAAAACGGAGGAAGGUGGGGAUGACGUCAAAUCAUCAUGCCCUUUAUGACUUGGGCUACACACGUACUACAAUGGCGUUAAACAAAGAGAAGCAAGACCGCGAGGUGGAGCAAAACUCAGAAACAACGUCCCAGUUCGGACUGCAGGCUGCAACUCGCCUGCACGAAGUCGGAAUUGCUAGUAAUCGUGGAUCAGCAUGCCACGGUGAAUACGUUCCCGGGCCU
Molecule: ribosomal RNA, 1332 nt
Filed under: uncultured bacterium
Lineage: Bacteria
Description: bacterial SSU rRNA
Rfam family: Bacterial small subunit ribosomal RNA
Source: RNAcentral